Molecule: ribosomal RNA, 510 nt
Filed under: uncultured bacterium
Lineage: Bacteria
Description: partial 16S ribosomal RNA
Rfam family: Bacterial small subunit ribosomal RNA
Source: RNAcentral
GACGAGCGCUGGCGGCGUGCUUAACACAUGCAAGUCGAACGAAGAGCGAUGGAAGCUUGCUUCUAUCAAUCUUAGUGGCGAACGGGUGAGUAACGCGUAAUCAACCUGCCCUUCAGAGGGGGACAACAGUUGGAAACGACUGCUAAUACCGCAUACGAUCUAAUCUCGGCAUCGAGGAUAGAUGAAAGGUGGCCUCUACAUGUAAGCUAUCACUGAAGGAGGGGAUUGCGUCUGAUUAGCUAGUUGGAGGGGUAACGGCCCACCAAGGCGAUGAUCAGUAGCCGGUCUGAGAGGAUGAACGGCCACAUUGGGACUGAGACACGGCCCAGACUCCUACGGGAGGCAGCAGUGGGGAAUCUUCCGCAAUGGACGAAAGUCUGACGGAGCAACGCCGCGUGAGUGAUGACGGCCUUCGGGUUGUAAAGCUCUGUUAAUCGGGACGAAAGGCCUUCUUGCGAAUAGUGAGAAGGAUUGACGGUACCGGAAUAGAAAGCCACGGCUAACUACGUG